UCCAGGGUGAAAUGAAUCCUUCGAUUGUUCCUGGUUUGAAGAGAACCUCCAUGGGACUGCUUUCCAGCCCCUGUGUGAGAAGCCCCGGUGGGCUUGCACCGAGACGGCAACAUUUUGAUGUUUAAUACAGACCAAGGAAUUGGUUAUGGAGGCUGAGAAGUCCUGCGAUCUGUCACCUGUGAGCUGGAGCCCCAGGAAUGUCGGUGGUGUAAUUCAGUCUGAAGGCCAGAGAACAAGGGAAACCAAUGGUAUAGAUCCCAGUCUGACGUCAGGAGAAGAUGAGAUGAGGAUUUGAUGAGGUGCAGUCCAGAAGAAAGAAAUAAACUCCCGCCUCCAGGAAAUGAUCAUCUCAAUCACUAGGUUGACAUUUCCGAAGUUCUUUGUACUUUUUUUCACUGAAGUCUCAGAAGAAAAGACCUGGAGGGCCUAGGAAGGAAACAACACCGUGCUGUCAGAGGUAACUGAGGCA
This is a long non-coding RNA of Camelus dromedarius (Arabian camel), 469 nucleotides long. RefSeq lists it as uncharacterized. The record is from RefSeq and is a predicted model, not a curated record. The transcript has 3 exons. NCBI's taxonomy places the organism in Eukaryota, Metazoa, Chordata, Mammalia, Artiodactyla, Camelidae.